UACGUAUGGGGCGAGCGUUGUUCGGAGUUAUUGGGCGUAAAGGGCGUGUAGGCGGUCCGAGAAGUCUGGUGUGAAAUCGCAGGGCUCAACCCUGCGUGUGCGCUGGAAACUGACGGACUGGAGUCCCGGGGGGGAAGCUGGAAUUCCUGGUGUAGGAGUGAAAUCUGUAGAGAUCAGGAAGAACACCGGUGGCGAAGGCGAGCUUCUAUUCGAGGACUGACGCUGAGGCGCGAAAGCGUGGGGAGCAAACAGG
This 253-nucleotide ribosomal RNA is filed under the name uncultured bacterium. RNAcentral's name for it is "partial 16S ribosomal RNA". It matches the Rfam family "Bacterial small subunit ribosomal RNA", at positions 524 to 776 of the family's 1533-position model. The record is from RNAcentral.